UUCAUGGAGAGUUUGAUCCUGGCUCAGGACGAACGCUGGCGGCGUGCCUAAUACAUGCAAGUCGAGCGGACCGACGGGAGCUUGCUCCC
This 89-nucleotide ribosomal RNA is filed under the name Bacillus haynesii. RNAcentral's name for it is "partial 16S ribosomal RNA". It matches the Rfam family "Bacterial small subunit ribosomal RNA", at positions 1 to 87 of the family's 1533-position model. The record is from RNAcentral. Lineage: Bacteria; Bacillati; Bacillota; Bacilli; Caryophanales; Bacillaceae.